GAAUAUUGCACAAUGGGCGCAAGCCUGAUGCAGCGACGCCGCGUGUGGGAUGAAGGGGCUACGCCUCGUAAACCACUGUAGCCCGGGACGAAAAACGCCUUAGAGGCGUUAGACGGUACCGGGAAAGUAAGGGUCGGCUAACUACGUGCCAGCAGCCGCGGUAUUACGUAGGACCCAAGAGUUGUCCGGAUUUACUUGGUGUAAAGGGUGUGCAGGCGGAUGGGUAAGUCAGGGGUUAAAGUCUGCAGCUUAACUGUAGA
RNAcentral lists this ribosomal RNA (260 nucleotides) under uncultured bacterium. Its description in RNAcentral is "partial 16S ribosomal RNA". It matches the Rfam family "Bacterial small subunit ribosomal RNA", at positions 359 to 619 of the family's 1533-position model. The record is from RNAcentral.